UAUUAAAAAUUUCAUUAAUUUUUACUGUUAAAAAUUAACGCGGCUAAUAAAAUAAUUAUAUAGUUACGCGUGGCGUGCCAUGUGUACUUCAUUUUAACGUAUAAGAUCAAUUUUUAACAAUAAAAAUAGAUACAAAUUUUAACA
This is a non-coding RNA of Gossypium hirsutum (cotton), 144 nucleotides long. The record is from Rfam. NCBI's taxonomy places the organism in Eukaryota, Viridiplantae, Streptophyta, Magnoliopsida, Malvales, Malvaceae.